GAUGAAGAACGUAGCGAAAUGCGAUAAGUAGUGUGAAUUGCAGAAUUCAGUGAAUCAUCGAAUCUUUGAACGCACAUUGCGCCCCUUGGUAUUCCAUGGGGCAUGCCUGUUCGAGCGUCAUUUGUACCUUCAAGCUUUGCUUGGUGUUGGGUGUUUGUCCUGAGGGACUCGCCUUAAAGUAAUUGGCAGCCAGUGUUUUGGUUUUGAAGCGCAGCACAAGUCGCGAUUCAAAGCUAUACGCCAGCUUCCACAAGCCUUUUUCACUUUUGACCUCGGAUCAGGUAGGGAUACCCGCUGAACUUAAGCAUAUAAUAAGCGGAGGA
This 323-nucleotide unclassified non-coding RNA is filed under the name soil metagenome. RNAcentral describes it as "partial contains 5.8S ribosomal RNA, internal transcribed spacer 2, and large subunit ribosomal RNA". The stretch from base 1 to 120 matches the Rfam family "5.8S ribosomal RNA", at positions 35 to 154 of the family's 154-position model. The record is from RNAcentral.